AACGAAAGUCGUAGAAUAUGUUAAACUAAGAACAUCGAUAAAAAGAACGCCCAAAUCUGACUUCGUAUGAGGAAGUUAUGAUUUUUCUAAGAUUUAGCAUAGCAGUGCACAGCCCGAAAUCUGAAUUUUAGAUCGGUCGAUUUUUAGCCGACGGGAUCUAAAUGAAAGUUGUAGUACUCGUAAAUACCAACGCGUGGAUAUAAAGAACGUUGAUAAUAGAGCUCGUAUGCAAAAGUUAUGGACGAAGCUUAGUCCCUACUUUUCGAGCGCGGCGAAUUCGAUACAGUUUUGUAAAUACGAGAUAGAAUGAGAAUUAGCCAACGAGGUCUAAAUGAGAGUUGAAGAUCUCAUUAAUAGGAACUCAACGGUAAAAAGACAGACAAAAAUGGAGCUCGUAUGCAAAAGUUAUGGACGAAGCUUAGUCCCUACUUUUCGAGCGCGACGAAUUCGAUACAGUUUUGUAAAUCCGAGAUAGAAUGAGAAUUAGCCAACGAGGUCUAAAUGAAAGUUGAAGAUCUCAUUAAUAGGAACUCAACGGUAAAAAGACAGACAAAAAUGGAGCUCGUAUGCAAAAGUUACGGACGAAGCUUAGAGACUACUUUACUAUAAAACUCCUAUAAAUACAAGGGUGAACUCCUCAUAUUUUCUUCACACCAUAAGCCUCUCUUUCUCUCUCUAACUUCUCUCUAGCCUCCCUAAACCCCUCCCAAGUCUACGGAACCUCCCUAGCACGAGAAGAAAGCCCCGGAGC
Molecule: long non-coding RNA, 751 nt
Filed under: Lactuca sativa (garden lettuce)
Lineage: Eukaryota; Viridiplantae; Streptophyta; Magnoliopsida; Asterales; Asteraceae
Description: long non-coding RNA (LSAT_LNC000268)
Source: RNAcentral